RNAcentral lists this long non-coding RNA (3999 nucleotides) under Cinara cedri. Lineage: Eukaryota; Metazoa; Arthropoda; Insecta; Hemiptera; Aphididae. The record is from RNAcentral.
CAAUAAUUCUUUCUAGAUACGACGCAGCAACUUUGAUAGGUAUUUGAUAAAAAAAAUAAUAACAAAUCCCGACAAAAAAAUAUUGAGCCGAUGAUUCUGAAAUUAAAAACUCUUUACAAUAUUACAAUUUUUUGAAAUGUGAGUAUUAAAAUUAUUCUUUACCUGUAGUCGUUAAGACGAUGUCACAGUCACAUUUGCCAUAUCGAUCUUGCUAACGGGCAACCUGUGUGUUCAGACUUCCAUUGGUAUUGGCUCUAAUAAGCUUAAAAUAACAAUAUUAUUUUACUUAAUUAACUAUAUUUACAGACAGUGAUUUUUUGAUAUCAAAUUCUCAGACAAUCUAUUCUUCCUACCAAUAGUAGUAGCUCAUAAUAGGUACUUGAGUGAUCGUGCAUUUUUUGUAAUUUUAUUUUACUUUUAAUUUAUGAAGUCCUAUUAAAAUUUUUAAUAAAUAACAUAUAUUUUAAUUUUUUACAGAUAUAAGUAACUAAUAACCAUUAUAGUAAAUCAAGUUACAAAAACUGUAUUCAAAUUAUAAAACAAUUACCUAUAGUAAAAAUAACCCUUAAAUAUUAAACAUUAAAAUUAACAGAAAAAUUAUUGCAAUCAGUAGUUUCAAAAUAUAUUUUUUUAAUUGUACACAUAAAUAUCUGUACAUCUACAUAAUCUGUAGUCAUAAAAUAACCUAAUUUUAUGAUUUUUAAUUUGACUGCUUUUAAAUUGGUUUGGUAGGUCGUGGUUACACAAACAUACUAAGUGAAAAUCAAUUUACCUAUAAUAGUUAGAAAUAUUAUUUUCAUCUCUUAAGUAUAGGUAUUUAAAUUAGUAGUUAUACUUAAAAAUAUAAAUAUAUUUCAAAAACUAGAUAGGCAUAUUAUUAGUUGAUUAUUAUUGAAAUUAUAUUAAAUUUAGUACCUAGGUAAGAUACUUAGGUAUCUUAGGUAUUAAGAUAUUAGGUAUAAUCUUGAAUGUGAGCAGUAGUUACUCAUUAGUUAAAUGAAAUUUAACUUGAUUUUUGAGGAUUAUUUGCAUUAAAUCAACUAUUUCAAUUUUAAAUAUGGUUUAAAAUUAACACUCAUUUAAUUUUAGGCAUGAUAUGUGAUGUCUGGACUAAAUCAUGUGCAAAGAGUUCGUUUAUUGUACAAAUCCAUUUUAAGACUACACCGUGGACUACCCAAAGAACUACAGGAACUAGGUCAAACAUAUGUUAGAGAUGAAUUUCGUAGACAUAAAAAUUGUAAUCCUAAAGAAGCUCAAAUAUUUAUGCAAGAAUGGAGUGUAAGUAAAAAUAUUUCUACUACCUACAUUAAGAUAAUUUAGUUAAUUAUAUUAUAUUUUUCUUUAGAAAUAUACACUAACAUUAUCUGAGCAACUUCUAAAGGAUGCCAAGUCAAAUAUUGGUUUUGGUAAAAACUUAGAUACACACGAAGGUAUAUUAGAUGCUUUUACAGAUGAUCAACUUAUACAACUUUAUAAUAUGCUGAAGGAAACAACUGGAAUCCAAGAUGAAACUGUUGAAUCUGAACUUUCUUCUAAAAAAUAAGACUGUAUUUAAAAAUACAUACAAUUUGUUAUUACCUAGUUAGUUUUAAAUAGAAUAAUAUUGUUGCCAUUUAUAAAUUAUUUAAGUUAGUUACAGUUACCACUCUGUUAAAUUAUAUUGGUUUUUAUUUGGCCCCCAUAUAUUUUAUCAUGCUAGUUUUAAAUUCUAUCUACUUAGAUUUUUUAGAUUAUAGUGUUUAAAUGAAUGGAUUGUAAUAAUAUUGGAAAUUCAAUUAUACUAAAUGUUUUUUAAAUAGGCAUUACUGUUUAAAUUUAUUUAAUAUUCAACAAAUAUAUAUUUAUAUUUAUAAAUUAUAUGUUAGAAAUUAAUGCAAUGUAUAAAAAAUAAAUAUAUUUUUUAUUUAGUGAUUUUCGUAAUAUUAUGGGAUAGUAAUUACUAAAUAUUAACAGGCAUAAAUUUGCGCAGCUGACCAACUGCGACCAAUUAUAGAGCUAAUGGACUCAGCCAAGGGAGCAUGACGUCGCUUCGUGAUUCAUUUGGAUGUGCCAAGCAAUGCAUUCUUAUAUGGAAUGAAGUAUAGUUGGAUGGUAUUUAAAAAUCUGAAAAAAUACUUAAGUUUAAAUUAAAAUUUUUUUUAAUAUGUUAAUUGUUUUCACAUUUUAAAUAGAUAUGUAUUGUUCAUGAAUGAACUAGUUCAGUGCAUGAUUGGUUUCUGAAUGGUCACUCACUGGAUGAACCAAAAUAUGAAACGAACUAAGAAAGAUUGAACCACUGAAUGAAUACAUGAUAAUAUGUCAACACAGUCUGUAAGAAUAUAUUAGUUCAUAUUUAUUCCCAUUCACUCGUUCAGGAUGCACUAAACAUUUUAAACAAAUGUUACAAAUACGAACAAACAACAAAUGCUAUGCAUACAUUCAAAUGACAGUUGUACUUCUACCAGUAACCGGUCAAUAGAUUUCUUCGGUCAUUUCUUCAGUAGACACAUAAUAUCUUCAUGUAUCGCUCAGUAAACUAGAACUAUUAACUGAACAGAGAGAACAAAUUAAUUCAUUCCCUUAAAUAACUUUAAUACAUGCCUAAUUUUAAAUACUUGUAUAUCAGUAUUCUACACCAAAGUUGGUAAAGUCAACAAAUACCCUAUAUAAAAUAUAUAUAUAUAUUUGUUGAAUAGACAAUAAUUCGUUCAACAUGUAUUAUAAUUAAUAAUUAUACUAAUAUUAAACUUCCAUUGUAAACUUUUUUUUAAUGCUAUAUUAGACUCAUCUGGCAAUGCUGUGAUGGGAAUAGAUUUAGUUUAUUACCAAAUUAAUUAAUGAUUAUAAAAACAUUUAAUUUGUGAAUAGUCUGCUAGUGUUUCUCUAAAUAUUUAAUUAAUUAUGUUUUGAUAAACAUCAAUAAAAUUAUAAUGAUGAUCAAUUAGUUGAACUAAUAAAAUUGUAUUGGUCAUUAAUAUUCUAAAAUUAUUUUCGACAUGAUGAUUAACAUGCUAGUUAUUUUUUAAUGAAUUCAAACAGAUAUUCAUUUAAUCAAAUUUAUAACUAAGAACAAUGAUGGUUAAACAACAUUUAAGUAAAUCUAUUGGGUUAUUAUUUUAACAUUGUAAAUUACUAUAUUAACUAUGGUUUAUUUUAUAAUUAAUCAGAUAGCAUAAAACAUAGAUUAGAUUGGAUGAGAUAUUAACGAACAACAUUUAUAACUAUGUAUUAUUUAUUUCGGUGUUUUACGAAUUGCGUGAGGAAAUUAUAAUAUAGGUCGAGUUGCGUGCUCGGGUUUUUAGAGACUCAGUCUAGUUGCAUGCAAAUUUUUUUUUUUAAAUUUUAAAUUUUGUGUAAUACUUAUCUCCUAGAAAUACCCUUUAUUUUGAUUUUACGAUUUACAAUUUAAAAAUUUAAAAAUGUAUGCUUUGUACUAGAUCCAGUGAUUGAAUUUUUAAAUAAAUAAGAUUUGCACAUUCUUUUAGUGCAUGCCCAUUUCUCAAUAAUAUUUAAAAAUUUACUGUAACAAAAAAACCACGCACACAACUCAGUUGUUAAUUAACGUCACUAUUUUUGUGUCACGCAAUUCAGAUGAAGCCAUUUAUUUAUCAUUCUCAAUUCAUCAAUUGGUUUUUAUUUUCAUAUAAUAUAUUUAUACAAUUAAAAGUAUACAUAUUUUGAUUAAUUAAGAAUAUUAAUAUCUACACCAAUAAACUAUAUAUUUUUUAUUGUAACUAUUGUAUUUAUUAAUUAUUAUUAAUAUUGUACAAAAGUAAAGUUAAUUUUUACUGGUAAAUAUUUCAAAUCUUUUCCAUUUAUCUAAGUACCUGUAACAUUGAUUAUAUUUAAUCGAUUCAUGUAAAAUAAUAAAUUAUUUUUCUUAAGUUAUUUUAGAUUUUACAACAUUCACAUUUCUAAAAUAAAUUAAGAUAUAUUAAUCUUCAUAUACAUACACAUAAAUAAUUAUUAUAUGUAUUACUGUAAUUUUCUGAGAAAAUUAAAUAUUUUAUGUCACAAAAC